UACGGGGGGGGGCAAGCGUUGUUCGGAAUUACUGGGCGUAAAGGGCUCGUAGGCGGCCAACUAAGUCAGACGUGAAAUCCCCAGGCUCAACCUGGGAACUGCGUCUGAUACUGGAUGGCUUGAAUCCGGGAGAGGGAUGCAGAAUUCCAGGUGUAGCGGUGAAAUGCGUAGAUAUCUGGAGGAAUACCGGUGGCGAAGGCGGCAUCCUGGACCGGCAUUGACGCUGAGGAGCGAAAGCCAGGGGGAGCAAAACGGG
Molecule: ribosomal RNA, 256 nt
Filed under: uncultured bacterium
Lineage: Bacteria
Description: partial 16S ribosomal RNA
Rfam family: Bacterial small subunit ribosomal RNA
Source: RNAcentral